Molecule: long non-coding RNA, 5290 nt
Filed under: Anolis carolinensis (green anole)
Lineage: Eukaryota; Metazoa; Chordata; Lepidosauria; Squamata; Anolidae
Description: lncRNA (ENSACAG00000042569.1)
Source: RNAcentral
UUUAUCACUCCCUAAAGGGCCAGGGAUAAGUGAAUAAUUAGACAAUUUAAAGGGCAAAGCGUGGUAAAUUUGUCCUACUACUGUAGCAAGUUUCACUCCAAUAGUUUUAAAAAUAAGGGAUAUAGCAGCCCCUGAAGUUUCCCCAAUAGUAACGGAGGAGCGAUAUGCUUGCUUUAAAACUACAUGUCCCAGAUGCCCCAGUUCCUCUUCCCUCUUAACAUUCCCCACCCCCCUUUUGUCCUCACUCUUUCCUUAUUAAUAACAUGGACCAUCUUGACCAGACUUGGACAUCUGUGAAUUCUUGGAAGGCAUCCUGGAAGCCUGCAGCUUGCUCCACCCUUCACUUACACCUUCCCGGUGAGGCGCCCCCUCACCUUGUCAUAGGGACCGUGUUAAGUCACUUAUUUCCACGAAUCCUGGUGAGUGGUUUUUCUUCUACUGUACUUGUACAGCACUGCCCUUACUGUUUUCAUAUGGUCGCUGCAUAUGGUGGGGUUGCGGCCAUGGCUGUUUUUGAGCUCCCCCCACCAUAUGGGGCGACCACAGAUUCUCCAGUCCGGCUCGGAAGUUUCAGCACCCGCCCUAUAAGACAAUACCUAGUGUAUAAGACGGUCCCUGACUUUUGAGAAGAUUUUCUUGGGUUAAAAAGUAGUCUUAGAUGCCAGAAAAUGCAGUAAAAACUAGGGAAGGGAGAGUGAUGCUGUGAGCAGAGGAGUGCAGGAAACACGAGAGGACACACUGUUGCAGUGUGAAAGCAAGGCGGGGACAGAGGGACAACAGGUUUACUUUCUCAACUUUAGUCUCCUUGCUCCAAAACCAGCACUAUUAUUCUGUAAUGGUUCUCUCAAAUCAAUCUCACCUGUAAAAAUACCAUAAAAUCAGUGAAAUGUAAAAUGCAACAAUUAAUAUGAAGAAUUUGCAUAAUUACAUUAUAUUAAUUUAAAUUAUUUGUACAAUAUGCAAAUUAUAUGCCCAUGUUUGAGGGUAUGGAAUAUGACAAUCCUACUAAUGAGGUCUUGCUUACUUUGAUACUGUGAGAGUUACUGCCAUGAGUAAAUCUCCUGUGUUUGGCUCAUGGCUUAGUCGCUUGCCCAUACACAAAGGAAGGCAGCCAGUGGAGCUGUGGGGGAGUAUAUUUGCCUCAUGGGGAUGGGUUGGAGCCCCUGGUGGCGUAGUGGAUUAAAGCCUUGUGACUUGAAGGUUGGGCUGCUGAUCUGAAAGCUGCCACGUUCGAAUCCCACCCGGGGAGAGUGCGGAUGAGCUUCCUCUAUCAGCUCCAUGUGGGGGCAUGAGAGAAGCCUCCCAUAAGGAUGAUAAAAACAUCAAAACAUCCGGGCGUCCCCUGAACAACGUCCUUGCAGACGGCCAAUUCUCCCACACCAGAAGUAACUUGCAGUUUCUGCUGGGCAGAAAAGCUCUCCAAACACACUGGGAUGGCAGAAAACCAUGGGUGAUCAAAACCUAGAAAGAUCCCGUGGACGGAAAAAAAAAGCCAACAAGACACAAGAUCAGCACCCUUUCGGCCAGGAGAUGGCUCUGCAGCACAUACAACAGUAGUAGUUCCCCAUUUUCUGAUCUGGGCUCAACAAAAGUGAACAUCCUCUGCCAACAAAAGCAAGAACAGGAAGAGAUAUUUUUAUUUUUAUUUAUGGAGUUGAGAUGGAUGAACUGGCUCUGACAUGCAUAUGCAAAUAUAGUGGAAAGAGAAGGCGCAAAAGAAAAUGAUAUGCCAAUUUAAGGGAAAGACAAGGUGCCUCUGUUAUCAGAAACAAAAGCUCGACAGAGUUGAUGUAAAACUAGAAGGUGAAGGAGAAUAAACCCAGCUCUGUAGAAAGAAAGGAGAAUGUUUAGGAGGCAGAUAGAAAAGGUGGAAGUGGUGGUAAAGCUUGGCUUUGCCAAAAGAAGAGCCUUAUGGCUGGCUGUUAUGAGAAGUAGAAGACUAGAGGGCCUCAUUUAGCAAUGGCUGUGGCAAUAUAGAAAUGAAAAUAUGAUGACGACGACCCACGUUAAAGGGUUUACCUGUUUCAUUUGCACCCUAUGAUAUAAGAUAAGCAUGGCUUUGGUUUAUGAGGAGAGCUCCAGACACAGUCCCCUCCAAAUGUACGUUCUACUUCAAAUAUGACAUAGUAUUGAAAUAUAAGAGCUUCCCUGCCCACAGUUUCAAUCUUAAUGCACCUGGUCUUUGGUACAUUUAUUUGGCUUCUUGCAAAAAGACUAUUUACUGUCUAGUGCAAAUGUUUUGACUCAUGGAGCCCUUUUUAGAAUGGCAGAGUCCCUUAGGUAGGUAAAGGUUUUCCCCUGACAUUAAGUCUAGUUGUGUUCGACUCUGGGGGUUGGUGCUCAUCUCCAUUUCUAAGCCCAUGAGCCAGCGUUGUCCGUAGACACCUCCAAGGUCAUGUGGUUGGCAUGACUGCAUGGCACACCUUAGGCCUACUCUAUGUCUUACAAGUUAAUGGUGUUAUGGGGGAAAGUAGAGGGGAUAGAUAAAGAUAUAUAGAGAUAUAAACAAUUAUGCAAUGUCCAUACAAUGAAAUUGUAUUUUAAAUAUUUUGACAUUUAUCAGAUUGUCUCAAUUUAUGUUAACUACCAUGAGUACACAUGGUACUGUCAAAACUUAGCUAUACAUCAAAAUUCUUCCAAAGUUCAAUAAAUCAAACCAGUUGUGUUACAAAAGAACUAAAGUGCACUGUGGUGCAACAGUAGACAGAAAUUAAAACGUAAUAAUAAUAAUAAUAAUAAUAAUAAUAAUAAUAAUAAUAAUAAUAAUAAUAAAACUUUAUUUAUACCCCGCCACCAUCUCCCCAAUGGGGACUCGGGGCGGCUUACAUGGGGCCAUGCCCGGGACAAAUACAAUAUAGCAAAAUAUAAAAACAACAUAUCAUAAUACAAUUACAACAAUACAAUAAAUGAUCGUAUACAGUACAACACAAAAUCAAAAAAGCAAUAUAACAGGGCGGGCCGCAUGAACACUCAGUUAAAACUCGGGGUGAGAAAAGGAUAAGAAUAAAACCACGGGGAACAGGGACAUAAGAUAGCAAACAAUCUAGGGGAUAACAUAAUGUAACAUAAAUAACAAACAGUAUAUAUGUUUAAUGGGACACCUGUGCUUGCAUUUUUUACACAGUAGAAGAGACCACAUGGGCCAUCUAGUCCAACCCCCUGCCAUGCAGGAAAAGCACAGUCAAAGUAUCUUAUAUUGAAUCUACAUUUUGUUUCUUAUUCUUUAAUUUUAUUCAAUUUUUAUUUAUUUUAAUUAUCUGGAGUAGCUGCGGAUCCUCUAGAAGUGCAUGCAGAGCCCUUGGAGUUUCAUGGAGCACAGGUUGGGAACCACUGGUCUAGAGUAUAAAAAAGUCUUCAGGCUAUGAUGCUAUCAGGCAGCAAGUUUAAUUUAGGUUUUCUGUUCGGCCAGAUGGGAAUUGUACGGGCUGUGGCGCAGGCGGGAGAGCAAGCCAGCUGCAAUUAACUGCAAUGAAUCACUCUGACCAGGAGGUCAUGAGUUCGAGGCCCGCUCGGAGCCUAUGUUUGUCUUGUCUUUGUUCUAUGUUAAAAGGCAUUGAAUGUUUGCCUAUAUGUGUAAUGUGAUCCGCCCUGAGUCCCCUUCGGGAUGAGAAGGGCGGAAUAUAAAUGCUGUAAAUAAAUAAAUAAAUAAAUAAAUAAAUAAAUAAAUAAACUGGAUGUUGUUGGCCAGCAAAUCCCAGGAACUCUACCCAGCAUCACCAAGUUGGUGAGAAGUCGAACACCAUCCAGAGAUCAGAUAGUUAUGUGCAAGGAUCUGUCUGGUACUCACUAUCCAAAGAAAGUUAAUGCCAUCAAGCAUGAUAUUUUCUUACACACCAGAUUCAAAGGGGCUUAAUUUAGCCACAUUGAAGUAGGUUGUUCCAGUUUUUCAAGAGAAAGGAGAACUACUCAAGUCAGUGAAUCUUAUGCAGAGCCGGUCCAACAAUGAGGCGAAUUAGGCAGUCGCCUGUAGCGCAAAACAUACAGGGGCGCAGUCAAGACUGCUUUUUCUGUUGAUUUGUUGUAAAACAUGAUGUUUUGGUGCUUAGUUUGAAAAAUAUUAAUGUAAUUUGAUGUUUAAUAGGCUUUCCCUUAAUCCCUCCUUAUUAUCCAACAUUUUCGCUUAUCCAACGCUUUUAUUUUUCAGUGAUUGGUUUGGGGGGGGGGGAAUUCUGUUCGCCUACACUUGAAAAAUACCUAGGGGCGGCUCUGGAAUCUUAUGUAAUAAUUUCAUCUCUCUUUUCAUACUGCAAAGUCUCUGCAUUCCUAGAACUUCUAAAGCUUUGUCUGGAUGUUUCCCUCUCCCUCAAGUCAUUCCAAAAAAGAUCCUUGUAAGUUGUGUAUAUUUUUUUAAUGUUGGUCACUACUGCUUUACUGGAAGCUUCUGAAAGCAUCACAUUCAAACUAUCAGAAAACUGACCAACUGCAUGCAAGUAUGAUAAAACAAAACUAUAAUUGAUUCAAGCUUUUUUAUUCAUCCCUAUUACAUUAAUUAGGAAUUAAUUGCCUGCCUAGUGCAAAUGGCUGAAGAAUCAAGGACAAUUAAGAAAACAACCUUUUUUUUACAGUUGUGUGUGUGUGUGAUUAUUUGUUCAGUCGCUUCCAGCUCUUUGUGACUUCAUGGACCAGAGCUUCCUGUCAGCCAUGGCCACCCCCAGCUUCUUCAAGGUCGAGUUUGUCACUUCAAGGAUAAAAUCCAGCCAACUUGUCCUUGGUCCAGCCCCUCUUCCUUUUUCCUUCCAAUCCCCCAGCAUCAUGCUCUUCUCCAAGCUUUCCUGUCUUCUCAUGAUGUGGUCAAAGUGUGUCUUCUCAUGAUGUGGCCAUCUUUGCCUCUAAUAUCCUUCCCUCCAGUGAGGGCUUGGAGGAUGGACUGGUUGGAUCUUCUUGCGGUCCGUCACUCUGAGGAUUUUUCUCCAACACCAAAAUUCAAAUGUGUCUAUCUUUCUUCACUCAGCCUUCCUUAUGGUCCAGCUCUUCCAUCUAUAGUUUACUAUGGGGAAUACCACUCCUUUUACUAUGCAGACCUUUGUUGCCAGUGUGAUGUCUCUUCUCUUAACUAAUUUAUUAUUUUAAUUUUUUAAAAUUAGUCAUAAAAUAAGCAUUGUAGUGGCAUGUUUAUGAGAUAUGAUACUAAUUUAUAGCCCUAGUCCAUUAUAGUCUUUUGUCCCUAAUCACAUAGUUUUCUAUAGUGUUCACUAAGGCAUUAUACAGACAAUUCCUAAAGGCUUUUACAUAUUCAAUCUUAUCAUAUUCUUAAUCAUUUUAUACUUAACCAAUUAUCCAUGUCAAUCUC